UGGGGAAUUUUGGACAAUGGGGGCAACCCUGAUCCAGCAAUGCCGCGUGUGUGAAGAAGGCCUUCGGGUUGUAAAGCACUUUUGUCCGGAAAGAAAACUUCGGGGCUAAUACCCCUGGAGGAUGACGGUACCGGAAGAAUAAGCACCGGCUAACUACGUGCCAGCAGCCGCGGUAAUACGUAGGGUGCGAGCGUUAAUCGGAAUUACUGGGCGUAAAGCGUGCGCAGGCGGUGCUGUAAGACCGAUGUGAAAUCCCCGGGCUUAACCUGGGAACUGCAUUGGUGACUGCAGCGCUGGAGUAUGGCAGAGGGGGGUGGAAUUCCACGUGUAACAGUGAAAUGCGUAGAGAUGUGGAGGAACACCGAUGGCGAAGGCAGCCCCCUGGGCCAAUACUGACGCUCAUGCACGAAAGCGUGGGGAGCAAACAGG
Molecule: ribosomal RNA, 429 nt
Filed under: Bacillota bacterium
Lineage: Bacteria; Bacillati; Bacillota
Description: Firmicutes bacterium partial 16S ribosomal RNA
Rfam family: Bacterial small subunit ribosomal RNA
Source: RNAcentral